GGGAAUGGGUCUAGAGCCCAGGAUGGAGUUGUCCACAUGCCACCUGAUCCCUUGGGGAACACAAGAUGAAAGCUGGACCCCUGGACUGGCCCUAACCUGCACAUUGGGCUCUGGCCCUUCUCAGUGAGUCUCCACAUCACAGUGUUGACCUCAGCAGAUAGUGACUGACUAUGAAGACCCCACUUGCUUGUGGGCUGCCACUCUCACUGUUGCCAGCUCGGCGACGAGGCCUAUGGGACCUGCUCCACACUGAGUGUCUUUUUACUCUAUGGUCAUGGUGGGUUGAUCUUGUCUCUCUGUGCCUUUACUUCUCUGAGCCAAGAAGCCUCUGUAACGGCUUUGCAGACAUGUCACUCAGUCUCUGGGCUUGUUUCCCAAAUGACCGAAGGACUGCCAACCCAGUGGCCUUCCACCAGGAGCCACGUUGCACCUCCCGGCAACACUGGAAACUUGUGUAAAAGCAAUUAGUGGGCAUCUCACAGUGCGUAGGAUGGACCAGCUACUUACUUUACUCAGAAUGCUCAUUGCAACAGUUUUAAGAAAUAGAAGGGCCAAUCCCUUCUCCCUGUCAUUCUGGGAAGAGAUCCCCUUAGGUUUCCUGGGAUCUUGGCUCCCAGAACAAGCCAAAAUAAAGACCUGACUGUUGCUGUGAGGGAGCCUGUCAGGCCAGAGCCAAGAUGGCUUGUGUGUUGCAGGGCCAGGACCAAAAGCGCCUUGCAUGCUAUGAGAAAAAGGGGCCUCUGUCUUUCUCAUGUUGACACUGAUUACUGUGCCAAAUCCUUUGUGGAAGUGUUUGCUGGGAGCUGCCUUUAGCACCAAGGAGAGGGAAAGCCAGGGUAUUGGGGUGCUUAGUCCCCCGACUUGUACUAGAUCUCAGGUCCUAGCCCAAGUAUCCCGGAGGUUCUGGAAUCUUCCCUUACAGUCUAUGAGUCACGUAGGGUGGGUAAAUAUCUUCCACAGAGCCUGCCAGGGUAUCUACUCAUGCAGAGGCAGCUGGGGACUACCUCUCUUGUCCCUGACUGCCCCUAGAGAAAUCAGUCUUUGGAAGGACAAAGGCCCUUACUGGCUUUCCCUGAUGUGUGGAAAGUGCUGUCAGGGGGAAGUGGAUAAAUCCAUGCACCCAUCUGUAAGACACUGCAGAUCCCCAGUUGUGCCGUACUGUGCACAGCUUCCUGUGAGGAGCUACAUACCUUUGAGUCAUGGUUUCAACUCUUUCUGUGGUGAUACAAAGGGAGAGGACCCUCCCUGCUCUGUGCCUCAAUUUCUUCUUGGUGAUCUAGAGCCUAACCCUGCCCCCUUCUCAGUCUCAAGAAUAAAAACUGUGAAGUAGAGACAGUGUCUUCCCUGAAUGAGGUGGGAGCAGACGCCAUUUUAAUAACGCAAGGUGAUACCGUAGGAAAUGGUCCCAACUAGCAUCUUUUUAUUCAAGAAUGUAGUUCAGCUAGUAGAGGGCUAGCCUAGCAUACUAGUUUGAUCCCCAUCACUGUAUAAACCGAAUGUAGUGCACAGACCUAUAACCCCAGUACUUUGGAAGUAGAGAUAGGAGGAUCAGAAGUUCAAAUCCACCCUCAAUGACAAUGUGAAUUGGAGGCCAGCCUGGGCUACAUGAGACUCUGUCUCAGAAAAGAAGAAAGAAACAAAAAGAACUUUGAAUUUUCAGUUUGAUUUGGUUUUUAAAUGGGAAAAGUAGUAUAUUUGAAGCUGCUAUGUUUUUUUGUUACGCUAUUGACCUAUGCAGUCCUCUAUAAUCACAAAAGUUUUAAUCCUUGUUACUUCUGUAUUUGUUACCCAUGUUGAAACUUAGGAACCUUCAUAUUUAAAUCAACGUCGUUUCCUUGGUUAGGGAGGAUUCAUUUCCCAUUCUGGUCUGUGGUGAUUCCUCCCCAGCCCUCUCUUGGAGUCCCAUCCCCACUGUACAUUACAGGGCCAUUUGGGUUUGUAGUCUGGUCUAAAGUGUGACUUAGGCACCGAUCACAUCGGUUGUUGGGGUUUUAAUUGCCUACUGCAGGCCUUGUCGCUGGUGGAAAAGGUCUUUGUACUGAGUCUGGUUUCUGCUUCCCAUCUGGUAAAACAGGUGCAGCAAACGGCUUCCUGUGGCUGCCGGUCUUAGUACUGUUUCUCAGCAGAUAGAAAGACCUGAGUUUCACCCAGGAUGGUCAUGUGGGCCCUGCCAGGGGACUUUAGAAAGACGUGAAGGUUGGAGUGGUCUGAGGAAAGGCUGGAGACCUGGAGGACACCAGGGGUCCCUGGGAGCCCAGUGUGAGGAACAGCCCAGGCAGCCCCACUCUGGGUCCUGGGGUUCUAACCUGUAAUGUGAUGAUGGUGCCCCUGCUUUUGACUCGAAUGCUGGUUCUUUACAUCUAAUAAACCAGACAGUGCCUCACCAUAUCUAAUAG
RNAcentral lists this long non-coding RNA (2396 nucleotides) under Rattus norvegicus (Norway rat). RNAcentral's name for it is "long non-coding RNA NONRATT029606". Lineage: Eukaryota; Metazoa; Chordata; Mammalia; Rodentia; Muridae. The record is from RNAcentral.